CCAUACAAAGAUGGGCCCUAUAGAUGCCCCUUCCAUGGUUUUCGUAAGAAGUUUGCUCAGUCACCUAACCCUAAAUCUCACCUUUUAGCAUAUAAGAAGGCCAAUCACAACCAGUGAAAAGAAGAGAGAAGACCUUCUCAACUGCGGGCAGCAUCUUCCAGGAGUGUAAUUGGAAUGAAUAUGCCUCUACUUUGUAUAUUAUUUCUAAUAAGAAUUUUAAUAAUGAAUCCUACACACAUAACAGAAUGGUUUUGAUAAUGUAAAAAAAAAUUAAAAGAAAAAAAU
This 285-nucleotide long non-coding RNA is filed under the name Marmota monax (woodchuck). Lineage: Eukaryota; Metazoa; Chordata; Mammalia; Rodentia; Sciuridae. The record is from RNAcentral.